UAUAGAUGAUUCCAGCUAUACUCACGUGUUUAGUCGACGUAAGUUCGACUAACUCAACCGCGACGUGUUGCGAGCUGAGUCCCUGUGAAAAAGGCUCCCGGAUGGGUUCGAAUAUAGUCAGGCUUACGUCGCCUAAACAAGUGA
This is a long non-coding RNA of Maniola jurtina (meadow brown), 144 nucleotides long. RefSeq lists it as uncharacterized. The transcript is spliced from 2 exons. The record is from RefSeq and is a predicted model, not a curated record. Lineage: Eukaryota; Metazoa; Arthropoda; Insecta; Lepidoptera; Nymphalidae.